This 69-nucleotide transfer RNA is filed under the name Marmota monax (woodchuck). It matches the Rfam family "tRNA". From Rfam's summary of the family: Transfer RNA (tRNA) molecules are approximately 80 nucleotides in length. Their secondary structure includes four short double-helical elements and three loops (D, anti-codon, and T loops). Further hydrogen bonds mediate the characteristic L-shaped molecular structure. tRNAs have two regions of fundamental functional importance: the anti-codon, which is responsible for specific mRNA codon recognition, and the 3' end, to which the tRNAs corresponding amino acid is attached (by aminoacyl-tRNA synthetases). tRNAs cope with the degeneracy of the genetic code in two manners: having more than one tRNA (with a specific anti-codon) for a particular amino acid; and 'wobble' base-pairing, i.e. permitting non-standard base-pairing at the 3rd anti-codon position. RNAcentral also lists the same sequence under 2 other names. The record is from Rfam by way of RNAcentral. Lineage: Eukaryota; Metazoa; Chordata; Mammalia; Rodentia; Sciuridae.
GGGGAUGUGGCUCAAGUGGUAGCGCGCUCGCCUGGCAUGCGUGCAGCCUGGGUUCGAUUCUCAGCACCA